GUGCCAGCAGCCGCGGUAAUACGUAGGUGGCAAGCGUUGUCCGGAAUUACUGGGUGUAAAGCGCGUGUAGGCGGCAGACCAAGUCGGCGGUGAAAGCGCCCGGCUCAACUGGGCGAGGUCCGUGGAAACUGGUCAGCUGGAGGACGGUAGAGGCGAGUGGAAUUCCCGGUGUAGUGGUGAAAUGCGUAGAGAUCGGGAGGAACACCUGUGGCGAAGGCGGCUCGCUGGGCCGGUCCUGACGCUGAGACGCGAAGGCGUGGGGAGCGAACGGGAUUAGAUACCCCGGUAGUCC
Molecule: ribosomal RNA, 292 nt
Filed under: uncultured bacterium
Lineage: Bacteria
Description: partial 16S ribosomal RNA
Rfam family: Bacterial small subunit ribosomal RNA
Source: RNAcentral